This 372-nucleotide ribosomal RNA is filed under the name uncultured organism. Its description in RNAcentral is "partial 16S ribosomal RNA". It matches the Rfam family "Bacterial small subunit ribosomal RNA", at positions 527 to 896 of the family's 1533-position model. The record is from RNAcentral.
GUAGGUGGCAAGCGUUGUCCGGAAUUAUUGGGCGUAAAGCGCGCGCAGGCGGUUCUUUAAGUCUGAUGUGAAAGCCCACGGGCUCAACCGUGGAGGGUCAUUGGAAACUGGAGAACUUGAGUACAGAAGAGGAAAGCGGAAUUCCACGUGUAGCGGUGAAAUGCGUAGAGAUGUGGAGGAACACCAGUGGCGAAGGCGGCUUUCUGGUCUGUAACUGAUGCUGAGGCGCGAAAGCGUGGGGAGCAAACAGGAUUAGAUACCCUGGUAGUCCACGCCGUAAACGAUGAGUGCUAAGUGUUAGGGGGUUUCCGCCCCUUAGUGCUGCAGCUAACGCAUUAAGCACUCCGCCUGGGGAGUACGGCCGCAAGGCUG